UACGGAGGGUGCGAGCGUUAAUCGGAAUUACUGGGCGUAAAGCGCGCGUAGGCGGUUUGGUCAGUCUGAUGUGAAAGCCCUGGGCUUAACCUGGGAACUGCAUUGGAUACUGCCAGGCUAGAGUGUGAUAGAGGGUAGUGGAAUUUCCGGUGUAGCAGUGAAAUGCGUAGAGAUCGGAAGGAACACCAGUGGCGAAGGCGGCUACCUGGGUCAACACUGACGCUGAGGUGCGAAAGCGUGGGGAGCAAACAGG
RNAcentral lists this ribosomal RNA (253 nucleotides) under uncultured bacterium. RNAcentral describes it as "partial 16S ribosomal RNA". It matches the Rfam family "Bacterial small subunit ribosomal RNA", at positions 524 to 776 of the family's 1533-position model. The record is from RNAcentral.